Non-coding RNA from Paramuricea clavata, 282 nucleotides. NCBI's taxonomy places the organism in Eukaryota, Metazoa, Cnidaria, Anthozoa, Malacalcyonacea, Plexauridae. The record is from the annotation of a GenBank genome assembly.
GUCCAUUUUCUGUUGUUUUUAGUUACAUUGUUUGCAGUGGUAUCAUUGACAACCUACAGACAUGUUUUAAUUGCGUUGGUGGUCCUGUUGAUAAUGAUCAAGUGACGCCAAGUAUUGUUCUAGAGUCUUUGGAAACCUUAUGCGCUAUUGCUAGAUAUUAUUCCUUCAGGUAAUUGAUAUAAUUACUGGGUUGACCCAGUGAACUCUCUCUCUCUCUCUCUCUCUCUCUCUCUCUCUCUCUCUCUCUCUCUCUCUCUCUCUCUCUCUCUCUAUAUAUAUAUC